This is a long non-coding RNA of Theobroma umbraticum, 221 nucleotides long. RefSeq lists it as uncharacterized. Lineage: Eukaryota; Viridiplantae; Streptophyta; Magnoliopsida; Malvales; Malvaceae. The record is from RefSeq and is a predicted model, not a curated record.
CAUCUGGUUUUAAGGAAGAGGUUGGAGAUAUUGAAGGUGAUGUCCCUCUGGAAUAGCGAUUGCGAAGGUCAACUUCUGAUGCUUUGUGAGAUAUGGUUGGCGGUGAAGAGCUUUCUUUGUAUGGUUUGGCCCCAAAUAACAAUGAAUCAGCACAGAUGGUGUACCAUUCUAUAAAAGACUUUCUUGUUUGCAGUGAGAGACUCAUUAACUAAUGUUGGCCC